CUCAGGACGAACGCUGGCGGCGUGCUUAACACAUGCAAGUCGAACGAUGAACCACCUUCGGGUGGGGAUUAGUGGCGAACGGGUGAGUAACACGUGGGCAAUCUGCCCUGCACUCUGGGACAAGCCCUGGAAACGGGGUCUAAUACCGGAUACUGAACCGCUUGGGCAUCCAGGCGGUUCGAAAGCUCCGGCGGUGCAGGAUGAGCCCGCGGCCUAUCAGCUUGUUGGUGAGGUAACGGCUCACCAAGGCGACGACGGGUAGCCGGCCUGAGAGGGCGACCGGCCACACUGGGACUGAGACACGGCCCAGACUCCUACGGGAGGCAGCAGUGGGGAAUAU
Molecule: ribosomal RNA, 340 nt
Filed under: Streptomycetaceae bacterium ACTS162
Lineage: Bacteria; Bacillati; Actinomycetota; Actinomycetes; Kitasatosporales; Streptomycetaceae
Description: bacterial SSU rRNA
Rfam family: Bacterial small subunit ribosomal RNA
Source: RNAcentral